UUCGAGUGGCGGACGGGUGAGUAACGCGUGGGUAACCUGCCUUACACAGGGGGAUAACACCUGGAAACAGGUGCUAAUACCGCAUAAGCGCACAGGGCCGCAUGGCCCGGUAUGAAAAACUCCGGUGGUGUAAGAUGGACCCGCGUCUGAUUAGCUUGUUGGCGGGGUAGAGGCCCACCAAGGCGACGAUCAGUAGCCGGCCUGAGAGGGUGGACGGCCACAUUGGGACUGAGACACGGCCCAAACUCCUACGGGAGGCAGCAG
RNAcentral lists this ribosomal RNA (264 nucleotides) under uncultured bacterium. RNAcentral's name for it is "partial 16S ribosomal RNA". It matches the Rfam family "Bacterial small subunit ribosomal RNA", at positions 90 to 354 of the family's 1533-position model. The record is from RNAcentral.